Molecule: RNA transcript, 2832 nt
Organism: Trematomus bernacchii (emerald rockcod)
Lineage: Eukaryota; Metazoa; Chordata; Actinopteri; Perciformes; Nototheniidae
Gene: arhgef39
Gene name: Rho guanine nucleotide exchange factor (GEF) 39
Exons: 13
Source: RefSeq, a predicted model, not a curated record
GUCCCGAUGUGGAGCAGCCAAUCAGAGCUCACGUCAACAUCGCAACCCGGAAAAGAGAAGCUCGAACCAAAAAGAGCGCCCUGGUUGAAAGUGGAGACGUUACCUCAAGUGUCCUCCUCGUCACUACCACCAUGAGUUUCUCCCCUGGUCCAGUCGGCCCCCCCGGGGGAACAGAUAUCCAGGAGCAGAGGGACCGCUGGGAGCGCAAACGCAGCCGAACAGCCAAAGAGUUGGUGCAGACGGAACAACGCUACUGCCAGCAGCUGGAGCUGGUCACCACCUUCUUUGUGGAGAUCUUGAAGGCCAAAGGAACCCUGAGGCAGGACAUUAGAGAAAGCAUCUUCAGUUCAAUUAAAGCCAUUCAUUCUGUAAACCAAUCUCUGCUGGUCCAUUUGGAGAACAGCUACUUUGGCCGCGGUUUUGAGCAAUUCUGUCCCCACCUUUCCCACUACAACACGUAUGCGGACAACAUCUACAAAGCCAGAAAAGCGCUCACGAUCCAGCUGAAGAAAAACAAGGCCUUCAGACGCUUUAAGAAACUGCAGGAAGCCCGAGAAGAGUUCAAAAACCAAACACUGGAGGAGUUACUUCAACUUCCGGUUCUGAGGAUUGAUCAGUAUAAACACUUCCUACAGGACCUGACUGCCAACACAAGUCCAGACAACCCAGAGUUUCAGCAGCUUUCAAGUGCUGUGACUGCGAUAUGCGACGUGUCCCAGCGCAUCCAGGACAACACCCGGCGCCAUGAGAACCACCUGCAGCUCUGCCGGGUGCAGAAACUGCUGAAGGGGCGAAAGACCAAGGUGUUGGCUGCAGGGAGGUGGUUCAUCCGUGAGGGCUGGCUGAAGGUGGUUCCUCAGAAAGGUGCGGUCGCCAAGCCCAAGAUGUUCUUCCUGUUCUCCGACAUGCUGCUCCAGGCCACGCGCUGCGGCCCGAUGCAACUCGCCAACAGGGACAAGUUCGCCGGCAGGCACGCCUUCCCCCUGCAGGAGUGCACCGUGGAGAAGGUGUUCGGCCACACCAGAAGCCAGGGAGGCCUGCUCAGCUUAACCUUCCCCAAAGCCAGUCUUCUGCUGAUGUCCUGCAACCAGGAGGAUCUCAAUGACUGGUACCAGAGCCUGAGCUCAGCCAUCAGGAAGCUGCAGUCUAAGGAGACAGUGGUCCAUCAGAGGGAUGAAUUGUGCCGGAGACCCCUCCGAUCAGCCGCCGACAGCCACAACACGCCCAGCAGCAGCAGCACCCCCGGCAGGAAGAGAAAACAUGAAUGACACAGAUACCUCGUCCAAAAAUGGCCCCUGUAGGUAUAUAAGAGUGGGCUCUGAGACCAGUGAGCAGAGUCAGAGACCCCCGUCUGAGUCGGAGGGCAGUGCCCCCAAGAGGCUGAAGCCGGCUGACGCUCCAGAGCACAGUGAAGAGGCGUCCCCUUCCAGCUGUGUGAUCCUCUGAGGGGUCUUCAGUCUCAGAUGAGGGUGGGUCCCACUCAGGCUGUCUGAGAGUUUCACUGCAGACUGAUUUAAUGCCAAACAUAACGCACACAAAGCUAUAUGUCUGUGUUGUUAACAUUACGUUCAAACUGUGCUUUUACUGUGCAGGUCAGGAGAUUCUGAUUAUUACUAACAGCAGCGUCCGCUUCUGCUCAUCCUGUGCAAUAUACACUUUUUAUUAUAUACUUAUCAUAUCAAUCCUAAGCUGCUUUAAAGACCAAAUAUCAUGAAUGUUUAACUGGGAGCGUUGUGUUGCUGCUGCUUGUCUAAAAGUACAAUGUCAAAACCCCCACACUGCAGAUAACUAGUCAUGAUUUCUCUUCUGGAUGACAUGUUUCCGGGCAGUCCCUGAAUGCACCACUCCCCCAUUAUCUCAGUCUGUCGGCAUUUUACACUAGAUACAGACUUUAGGAUGAAAAUGUGUAUUUAUUAUUUUUAUUUGAUUUAGAUCGAGGAAAAAAUAAACAGUUCAUACGUGGGAAACUGACAAUAUAAAAAAAUUAAUAUAAACAUUAUAAAAUCAAUCAAGUAAAAUGGAUGACCAACUUUUUAAGAUAAACAAUCAAUCCAUUUUUAUUUCUCACAUAUAAUUUUUUCUUUUCCUUUUUAUUGUUACUCUUACAUAUCAUGUCUCUUGUCAGGACAGUUUUAAUAUUAUAUAUUCAAUGCCCUCUCACUUUUGAGCCAGAAAGUGUUGGUGAGAACAUUUGAAAAAUUAGAUAUUUGGAAAAGGUAAAACUGUAAAAAUAAGAUACCAAAGAUUCUGAUAAUAUAAAAACUCACAAUAACAUGUGAUUCAUUAUUUUUAAUUUAGUGUACAUGAUUAUUUUAUAAUAUCUUAUUCUCUUUUAUUUAAUAGUGGCCAUUUUAACAUCCAUGAUUAAGACUGGGAAUGUUUUUGUCCAUCUUAAUACAGAUCCUAAAUGAUUAAUGAUCACACUAUUGAUUAAUGACCUUGUUCAAAUGUAGAAUCACUGGUGUCUUUUUUGAUUGUUUGUUUGCAUGCGGGGAUUAUUAUAAUUAUUUUCAAAUGGAAUCAGUGCCUUUUAAUCAGCUCCACUGUUUUCUAAAGAUGACUGAUUUAUGUGUCUGUGUGCAGGCGAGAAAACCUGGCUAACAGAUUCUAUAUGCUAUUAUCAUGAUGUCCUUUAUUUACAUUUAUCCUUUUAUAUAUUUUAUUUUAUCAUAUCCUUUAUAAACGAAUCAACAUAUAUUUGCAUCUCUACUGCAAAGCUCUUCAUAUAUUUUGUUCACACUAUUUCUUUGACACUUUUGAAAGCUGUUACACUGGUUACAGAUCAUGAAUGAAGAAAUCCUUUGAACUUCCCAAUAAAACUCUAAAACAAGU